Molecule: ribosomal RNA, 457 nt
Filed under: uncultured bacterium
Lineage: Bacteria
Description: bacterial SSU rRNA
Rfam family: Bacterial small subunit ribosomal RNA
Source: RNAcentral
AACGAACGCUGGCGGCAGGCUUAACACAUGCAAGUCGAACGCCCCGCAAGGGGAGUGGCAGACGGGUGAGUAACGCGUGGGAAUCUACCCAGUUCUACGGAACAACUGAGGGAAACUUCAGCUAAUACCGUAUACGCCCUACGGGGGAAAGAUUUAUCGGAAUUGGAUGAGCCCGCGUUGGAUUAGCUAGUUGGUGAGGUAACGGCUCACCAAGGCGACGAUCCAUAGCUGGUCUGAGAGGAUGAUCAGCCACACUGGGACUGAGACACGGCCCAGACUCCUACGGGAGGCAGCAGUGGGGAAUAUUGGACAAUGGGCGCAAGCCUGAUCCAGCCAUGCCGCGUGAGUGAUGAAGGCCUUAGGGUUGUAAAGCUCUUUCAGUGGGGACGAUAAUGACGGUACCCACAGAAGAAGCCCCGGCUAACUUCGUGCCAGCAGCCGCGGUAAACUAGUCUAG